This 380-nucleotide unclassified non-coding RNA is filed under the name Hevea brasiliensis (rubber tree). Lineage: Eukaryota; Viridiplantae; Streptophyta; Magnoliopsida; Malpighiales; Euphorbiaceae. The record is from RNAcentral.
UUUCCUCAGCCAUAUGCAAAUGAACAAGCGGCCAGAUUUGCUAAUGGAGGGGCUUAUCCUCCUGAUUUAAGUCUUAUUACGAAAGCUCGUCACAAUGGUCAGAAUUAUGUUUUUGCUCUUUUAACUGGUUACCAUGAUCCUCCAGCUGGUGUUUCUAUCAGAGAGGGAUUGCAUUACAAUCCUUACUUUCCUGGAGGAGCUAUUGCCAUGCCUAAAAUGCUGAAUGAUGGUGCUGUUGAAUAUGAAGAUGGUACCCCUGCAACAGAAGCACAGAUGGGAAAAGAUGUUGUAACAUUUUUAUCAUGGGCUGCAGAGCCAGAAAUGGAAGAAAGAAAAUUGAUGGGUUUUAAAUGGAUAUUUGUACUCUCACUGGCAUUACU